CUGGCAGCCCUGGAGAAUGAAGUCCUCUAUUUAUGCACAGAACAGAUAGACCACAAGGACUAACAAGACAAGCUUCACUACUUUGCCUUGCAGAUGAAGGCUCUGACCCUGUUUUGGAAAGGACAACUUUCAGCUGCAGGCCUAGUUUGUUAUUUAUGCCCUCUGAUGCUUAUCCAUA
Chelonoidis abingdonii (Abingdon island giant tortoise) is the source of this 178-nucleotide unclassified non-coding RNA. The record is from Ensembl. NCBI's taxonomy places the organism in Eukaryota, Metazoa, Chordata, Testudines, Testudinidae.